Non-coding RNA from Leptonychotes weddellii (Weddell seal), 1874 nucleotides. The record is from RefSeq and is a predicted model, not a curated record. Lineage: Eukaryota; Metazoa; Chordata; Mammalia; Carnivora; Phocidae.
UUUUUUUUUUUAAGUAUAUGUGCUGCCGAAGCGAGCGCGAUCCGCGUCUUUUUUUGACCUAUCUUUGAAAGGCACACACCUUCACUUCUGUCACAUUCUCUUCCUUAGAAUCAGGCCCACGGUCAAGGAGAGAAGAAUGGAAGCUCCAGCUUUGGGAGGGAGGGAGAUUGAGGCAUUCGUGGACAUAUUUAAAACAAAACAAAACAAAACAAAAAACCACCACAAACAGUGUCCAUACUGGAAGACAGGGAAGAAAGCAAAAAAAGAAGGAAAAAUGAGACACUGAGACAGUGAGUAAUCCGCAAAUAGGAUACCCGAUCACUUUAUUAAGAGCUUUUCAUACCAUCAACCUGAAGUGAAUCUCUUCCAGAGUCUGCCCUGAGGAAGGUGUUUGCUCACUGUGACGUGAGCUUUGUCCCUUGGGGUGGCAUGGGUUCAGGGGCAGGGACCUGACACUGUGUCCCCGACCAGCCACACCUGCUCCGCAGCCCUCAGCCACGGGGUUGGCCCGUGCGACCCUGAGCAAGGUCAGUCGCCCUCUCUGAGCCUCCGUUUCGGGCUCUGGAUGAAAGGAAUGCCUGCUUCCCAGGAUCCCAGGAGUGACUGAACACGCUCUGUAAUCUAUGAAGCGUGGGGCCCUUGAGCAUUCUGCUCAUUGCCAUUUGCCCUGGGUUUUGGGUGAGGCCAGAUCCCACCAGAGGCUUUUUGUCCUCCCGUUCUGCCCAUCUAAUUUCCAACACACGGUGCUCAGGCACAGAGAGGAGAACCGGGCACAGAGGCCAAAUCCCAGCCUAGAAACAGGGGUGCAUAUUGUCAACGCCUCCGGCAACGGCACCCCACCCAGCCGAGGGAGCCUCGUUCCCAGCCCCACUUAACAACGCGCAGCCUGAUUUAAUAUGAGCAGCUGAUCUCAUUGCUUCCAUAGCAAGUUUAAUUUGCUGGGAAAGCGAGUUGGUGAAGUUCUAAUAAUGCAGAGCGGCAAAUAAUACCAAAGAGAGUUUGCAUUAUGAUAACUUUCCAAUUAAAAUGGAUUAAUGGAGAAGAAACGGCAGCAGUGGUGUCUAGACAACAUAUUACUAAAUCCUUGGAGAGGGAGAUGGAAGGGAGUUGGGGGGGACAAGAGGAAGCAAAAGGAACGGGGCACGUCUUGAGUUGGAGGCGCCCGGGGCGGUGUGUCGGGAGGUACCAGGCGUGAGCUCCUUGGCCCCAUCUGCUACAGAGCGCACGCUUUCCGGCAUUUGGGAGAACCGGUCUUGUAGGACCCAAAGGCCUUUGGUCUCUGGACCUCUUUAAUUAAAAUGCAAAUAGUGCCUUCAGGUUCCCCGGGCUGGCCUGUGUCGGGGAUUCGCCCGCAGCUACCUGAGAGCCCUGGAAGGCCCUGGCUAGGAGUCAGGAGACCAGCACAGACAGAUGGACGCGUCUGGGCUUCGCUGCAGGACGCGGAACAGUUCCUCCACAUCCGAGCCGAUGACCCUGAACCCUGACCACUGCCCAGUGAUCCAGGUCCCUUGCUGUCUGCAGAUGGAUAUGAAACUACGACUGAAAACACAUAAUUCUGGGGAUAAAGGAAAAUAUGAGACAAGAAACAACCGGGGAUAAAAAGAUCACCACUUCAUAUUCAACAACACUCCACUUCAUCCCCCCACCCACACACACACCCAGAACUGUGUCCAGGGCAGCCUUGAGGGGAAGGGUGAGGGGGGUCAUAUUCAUGCUGUGGAUCAUGCAUCAUAUUCUCAUUAUCUCAUUGUUGUCAUGAUCUUUCAGGCUGGAAAUACAAAUCCCCAUUUUACAGAUGAUGAAACUGAGGGUCAGAGUAGUUCACUUGCCCAAAGCCAAACAGUUCAUAAGUAUAAAGUCUGUUUGAAUCCAAA